RNAcentral lists this ribosomal RNA (440 nucleotides) under uncultured bacterium. RNAcentral describes it as "partial 16S ribosomal RNA". It matches the Rfam family "Bacterial small subunit ribosomal RNA", at positions 338 to 795 of the family's 1533-position model. The record is from RNAcentral.
CCUACGGGUGGCAGCAGUGGGGAAUAUUGCACAAUGGGGGAAACCCUGAUGCAGCGACGCCGCGUGAGUGAAGAAGUAAUUCGUUAUGUAAAGCUCUAUCAGCAGGGAAGAAAAUGACGGUACCUGAGUAAGAAGCCCCGGCUAACUACGUGCCAGCAGCCGCGGUAAUACGUAGGGGGCAAGCGUUCUCCGGAUUUACUGGGUGUAAGGGGAGCGUAGACGGCAGUGCAAGUCUGGAGUGAAAGGGGGGGGCUCAACCCCCGGACUGCUCUGGAAACUGUACGGCUGGAGUGCAGGAGAGGUAAGUGGAAUUCCUAGUGUAGCGGUGAAAUGCGUAGAUAUUAGGAGGAACACCAGUGGCGAAGGCGGCUUACUGGACUGUAACUGACGUUGAGGCUCGAAAGCGUGGGGAGCAAACAGGAUUAGAUACCCGGGUAGUC